AUAUCAAUAAGCGGAGGAAAAGAAACCAACAGGGAUUGCCCUAGUAACGGCGAGUGAAGCGGCAACAGCUCAGAUUUGAAAUCCGGCCCUUGGGCCCGACUUGUAGUCUGCAGAUGGGUCUUCGGGCGACCCACCACCUAGGUCCCCUGGGAGGGGGCGCCACAGAGGGUGAGAGCCCCGUACAGGUGGAUGGUUAGCCUAUGUGAAGCCCAUUCGACGAGUCGAGUAGUUUGGGAAUGCUGCUCAAAAUGGGAGGUAAAUUUCUUCUAAAGCUAAAUACCGGCCAGAGACCGAUAGCGCACAAGUA
This 307-nucleotide ribosomal RNA is filed under the name uncultured eukaryote. Its description in RNAcentral is "partial large subunit ribosomal RNA". It matches the Rfam family "Eukaryotic large subunit ribosomal RNA", at positions 40 to 350 of the family's 3401-position model. The record is from RNAcentral.